Molecule: ribosomal RNA, 1352 nt
Filed under: uncultured bacterium
Lineage: Bacteria
Description: bacterial SSU rRNA
Rfam family: Bacterial small subunit ribosomal RNA
Source: RNAcentral
AUUGAACGCUGGCGGCAUGCCUUACACAUGCAAGUCGAACGGCAGCACGGAGCUUGCUCUGGUGGCGAGUGGCGAACGGGUGAGUAAUAUAUCGGAACGUACCCUGGAGUGGGGGAUAACGUAGCGAAAGUUACGCUAAUACCGCAUACGAUCUACGGAUGAAAGUGGGGGAUCGCAAGACCUCAUGCUCGUGGAGCGGCCGAUAUCUGAUUAGCUAGUUGGUAGGGUAAAAGCCUACCAAGGCAUCGAUCAGUAGCUGGUCUGAGAGGACGACCAGCCACACUGGAACUGAGACACGGUCCAGACUCCUACGGGAGGCAGCAGUGGGGAAUUUUGGACAAUGGGCGAAAGCCUGAUCCAGCAAUGCCGCGUGAGUGAAGAAGGCCUUCGGGUUGUAAAGCUCUUUUGUCAGGGAAGAAACGGUGAGAGCUAAUAUCUCUUGCUAAUGACGGUACCUGAAGAAUAAGCACCGGCUAACUACGUGCCAGCAGCCGCGGUAAUACGUAGGGUGCAAGCGUUAAUCGGAAUUACUGGGCGUAAAGCGUGCGCAGGCGGUUUUGUAAGUCUGAUGUGAAAUCCCCGGGCUCAACCUGGGAAUUGCAUUGGAGACUGCAAGGCUAGAAUCUGGCAGAGGGGGGUAGAAUUCCACGUGUAGCAGUGAAAUGCGUAGAUAUGUGGAGGAACACCGAUGGCGAAGGCAGCCCCCUGGGUCAAGAUUGACGCUCAUGCACGAAAGCGUGGGGAGCAAACAGGAUUAGAUACCCUGGUAGUCCACGCCCUAAACGAUGUCUACUAGUUGUCGGGUCUUAAUUGACUUGGUAACGCAGCUAACGCGUGAAGUAGACCGCCUGGGGAGUACGGUCGCAAGAUUAAAACUCAAAGGAAUUGACGGGGACCCGCACAAGCGGUGGAUGAUGUGGAUUAAUUCGAUGCAACGCGAAAAACCUUACCUACCCUUGACAUGGCUGGAAUCCCCGAGAGAUUGGGGAGUGCUCGAAAGAGAACCAGUACACAGGUGCUGCAUGGCUGUCGUCAGCUCGUGUCGUGAGAUGUUGGGUUAAGUCCCGCAACGAGCGCAACCCUUGUCAUUAGUUGCUACGAAAGGGCACUCUAAUGAGACUGCCGGUGACAAACCGGAGGAAGGUGGGGAUGACGUCAAGUCCUCAUGGCCCUUAUGGGUAGGGCUUCACACGUCAUACAAUGGUACAUACAGAGCGCCGCCAACCCGCGAGGGGGAGCUAAUCGCAGAAAGUGUAUCGUAGUCCGGAUUGUAGUCUGCAACUCGACUGCAUGAAGUUGGAAUCGCUAGUAAUCGCGGAUCAGCAUGUCGCGGUGAAUACGUUCCCGGGUCU